UACGUAGGGGACGAGCGUUGUCCGGAAUUACUGGGCGUAAAGGGCGCGCAGGCUGUGCUGCAAGUCAGCUGUUAAAUGUCUGGGCUUAACCCGGGCAUGCGGUUGAGACUGCAGUGCUGGAGUGCUGUAGAGGCAAGUGGAAUUCCCAGUGUAGCGGUGAAAUGCGUAGAUAUUGGGAAGAACACCGGUGGCGAAGGCGACUUGCUGGGCAGCAACUGACGCUGAGGCGCGAAAGCCAGGGGAGCAAACGGG
RNAcentral lists this ribosomal RNA (252 nucleotides) under uncultured bacterium. Its description in RNAcentral is "partial 16S ribosomal RNA". It matches the Rfam family "Bacterial small subunit ribosomal RNA", at positions 524 to 776 of the family's 1533-position model. RNAcentral also lists the same sequence under 1 other name. The record is from RNAcentral.